Mugil cephalus (flathead mullet) is the source of this 716-nucleotide long non-coding RNA. RefSeq lists it as uncharacterized. Lineage: Eukaryota; Metazoa; Chordata; Actinopteri; Mugiliformes; Mugilidae. The record is from RefSeq and is a predicted model, not a curated record. The transcript is spliced from 2 exons.
GCUGGCGUCCCGGGAGCCGAGAUAUCCUGUUCUGUCUGGGAAUGAGAUUUUCUCAAGGGAGAGGGAGACACCGGAGCGCUGCGGGGGUCUGGAGCUGCAUGACGAGAGUUCAUAGUUGAGAAAUGAACAUUUAAAUUUCAUGUAUCUGCAAAAGAUUUUUCACUCUGUGCCACCAGAUGGGACAAAUCACCCUGAUUGAUUUCCAGCACUGUGGCUCAGGUGGCAGAGCAGGACCGCCAUUAAUCACGGAGUUAGUGGUUUGAUUCCUGUUCCUCCUCAUAUCAAAGUGUCCUUGAGCAACACAUUAAACCCACAAAACCUCCAUUGAUCCGUGAGGAACUAAAUGAGCUAUACUAUGACGCUUCUUUCAGUUGCCAAAGUAGAAAUGUACCGAUAAAUAAGUGUUAUAUUUAAGCAUGUAUGUAUUUCGCUAAUGCAUAAAAUAUACAAAGAAUGAAAUGUACAUGCUUUGUGAAUUUAUUCUAGGCCAGCUCAAACUUUUAUUUCUAAUAUAAACGUAAUGCGUCGAGUGUAUUUGAAAUGAAGGAGUGUCUUUUCACAAUUUAAAUUACACUUAUUUGUUUUUAAAGAUAAAUAUUUAAACGUUACCUAAAUUCCUCCUGUUUAACAUUUAAAUCUCUUCAGCUUCAUUUUUUUUUAACCAAUAUGACACAUUACAGUGAAAUAUCUUCAAUAAUUGACAAAUAUUGUAAAUU